AUUGAACGCUGGCGGCAGGCCUAACACAUGCAAGUCGAACGAGUGGCGGACGGGUGAGUAAUGUCUGGGAAACUGCCUGAUGGAGGGGGAUAACUACUGGAAACGGUAGCUAAUACCGCAUACCAUCGGAUGUGCCCAGAUGGGAUUAGCUAGUAGGUGGGGUAACGGCUCACCUAGGCGACGAUCCAUAGCUGGUCUGAGCGGAUGACGAGCAACACGGGAACUGAGACACUGUCCAGAUCCGUACGGGAGGCAGCAGUGGGGAAGAUUGCACAAUGGGCGCAAGCCUGAUUCAGCCAAGCCGCGUGUAUGAAGAAGGCCUUCGGGUUGUAAAGUCCUUUCAGCGGGGAGGCGUUACCCGCAGAAUAAGCACCGGCUAACUCCGUGCCAGCAGCCGCGGUAAUUC
Molecule: ribosomal RNA, 406 nt
Filed under: uncultured bacterium
Lineage: Bacteria
Description: partial 16S ribosomal RNA
Rfam family: Bacterial small subunit ribosomal RNA
Source: RNAcentral